UUGACCUCGGAUCAGGUGGGGAUACCCGCUGAACUUAAGCAUAUCAAUAAGCGGAGGA
Molecule: ribosomal RNA, 58 nt
Filed under: Chaenotheca trichialis
Lineage: Eukaryota; Fungi; Ascomycota; Coniocybomycetes; Coniocybales; Coniocybaceae
Also listed under: 6 other names
Description: partial 28S ribosomal RNA
Rfam family: Eukaryotic large subunit ribosomal RNA
Source: RNAcentral